AGUUAGAAGACUGAUGACUUCUGAUGUCUGUAAGAAUAAAGAUGCAUGGAAAUAUUUAAAGGAAGGAAAGAGUGAGUGAUUGAAAAUAGGCCUGACCCUAACCUUUGCAGGGUCCAAGGCAGGCAUAUACAUGGAGGUCCGAAGGCCAGAGCUGGAUUUAGAAUUCUCAGAUUCCUUGGAGUUCUGCUUUGGAUAUGGCACUUGAAUGUCGAAUGGGUUCACCACAUGCAGCCACGCUGCUCUUCCUCUCGGGAUGCUUGGAGGACUGCACCCUAUCCCAGCCUGGCUUAGUUCCUGCCUUGGCUCCUCUAAGCCCAGUCCCUGGACCUGGCUUCUGCCCCGUUGCCUUAGCUCAUGUUUGUAAGAUAAAUUCUAGCCGAAAUAAGCAGGCGAUGAGAGGCAACAAAGGGCCAGGCAGUUUAUUUGAGCGCAAUUUCCAGGUGAUGUUCCUCAGUCUGGGUAUUACAGGCUGGGGAAGUCAC
Molecule: long non-coding RNA, 482 nt
Organism: Manis javanica (Malayan pangolin)
Lineage: Eukaryota; Metazoa; Chordata; Mammalia; Pholidota; Manidae
Source: RefSeq, a predicted model, not a curated record